AACGAACGCUGGCGGCGUGCCUAAUACAUGCAAGUCGAGCGAAUGGAUUAAGAGCUUGCUCUUAUGAAGUUAGCGGCGGACGGGUGAGUAACACGUGGGUAACCUGCCCAUAAGACUGGGAUAACUCCGGGAAACCGGGGCUAAUACCAGAUAACAUUUUGAACCGCAUGGUUCGAAAUUGAAAGGCGGCUUCGGCUGUCACUUAUGGAUGGACCCGCGUCGCAUUAGCUAGUUGGUGAGGUAACGGCUCACCAAGGCAACGAUGCGUAGCCGACCUGAGAGGGUGAUCGGCCACACUGGGACUGAGACACGGCCCAGACUCCUACGGGAGGCAGCAGUAGGGAAUCUUCCGCAAUGGACGAAAGUCUGACGGAGCAACGCCGCGUGAGUGAUGAAGGCUUUCGGGUCGUAAAACUCUGUUGUUAGGGAAGAACAAGUGCUAAUUGAAUAAGCUGGCACCUUGACGGUACCUAACCAGAAAGCCACGGCUAACUACGUGCCAGCAGCCGCCGUAA
This 515-nucleotide ribosomal RNA is filed under the name uncultured bacterium. Its description in RNAcentral is "partial 16S ribosomal RNA". It matches the Rfam family "Bacterial small subunit ribosomal RNA", at positions 29 to 523 of the family's 1533-position model. The record is from RNAcentral.